GAUGAAGAACGUAGCGAAAUGCGAUAAGUAAUGCGAAUUGCAGAAUUUCCGUGAGUCAUCGAAUCUUUGAACGCACAUUGCGCCCACUGGUAUUCCGGUGGGCAUGCCUGUUCGAGCGUCAUUAUCCUCCCUCAAACCCCGGGUUUGGUGUUGGACCCAAGUUGUGUGAACAACUGGUCUCAAAGACAAUGACGGCGUCCGUGGGACCCUCGGUGCAACGAGCUUUUAGGAGCACGCAUCGAGUUGCAAGGACCUUCCGGGCCGGUCUCCUUUACCAUUUUACAAGGUUGACCUCGGAUCAGGUAGGAAUACCCACUGAACUUAAGCAUAUCAAUAAGCGGAGGA
This 345-nucleotide unclassified non-coding RNA is filed under the name soil metagenome. RNAcentral's name for it is "partial contains 5.8S ribosomal RNA, internal transcribed spacer 2, and large subunit ribosomal RNA". The stretch from base 1 to 121 matches the Rfam family "5.8S ribosomal RNA", at positions 35 to 154 of the family's 154-position model. The record is from RNAcentral.